AACCUUUUAAAAGUGGGAAAUUUUGCCACUAUUCAAAGGAAUAGUGAAAUGGGUCACAAAAGCAUGAAUUUCACUGUUUAUAAGCAUGGGCAAAUCUGAGCCUUCCAUCACCGCUACAUCUCAACCGCCCGAUUUACUUCUUCUCCCUUCUCCUUUCGCUGGCACAUGUAUCUCUCUCACUCACUCACUCACUCACUCUCUCUCUCUCUCUCUCUCUCUCUCUCUCUCUCUCUCCCUUUCUAGAUCUAGAAAAUUUAGGGUUUUGGCUAUGGUUGAGCACGCAGAAAUCGAAGGCCAAAUCAACGCUUGAGAAGAUCGCCCAAAAAAAUCACCAAUGAGACUCAUCUUCCAACUCCGAUUCCGAAUUCGUCAGUCAGUUAAUAGCUCCUCUCAAUCGUUCGCGGUCAAGGCGGAGGAGAUGAUGAGGAUGAUAACAAGUUUUAGAGUGUAUUUUGAAUUCUUUCAAACCUCUACUCACAGACGGCACACAAAUCCAACGUUUUUCUCAAAGCGUGGGUUUGUUCUGGCGGGUAAAGGAAGCAUUUCUCAACUGGAAUGUAUAGUUUGCCUUUGAAGAAAUUACAUGGAUACUCAUAAAUCUGGGGUAACAUUCAAGCAAGAUGUCUUGGAUGAAACUGGAGACAUGGCUUUCACAUCAUUUAGCAAAGAGUGUGAGAACCCUAUGCAAGCUCCUGUCUGCUGAAAUUUACUCACAGUGAAAGACGAUAGGGAUGAGGAUUUCAAGAAUGAGGGUUUGAUAUUGUGGGCACUCACAAUCAAUGUCCACAUCCUGUUUUAGCUCAAGCCAAAUAUCUCAACGCCGAAAGCCUACCCGUCGGUGGUGGUCAAGAAGGAAAAGCAAUCACACCCAUAAUUUAUUCCAGCGAACGCUUCAACGACGUUGUUUCCCGGUUCACAGAUCUACUUGCUUUGGGUUAUGUUUUCAGUCAUUUCAUCAUCCACAAUUUCGCUAUUCUUUCCACAUUUUCUCCCCUUAAAUUACGGCUCCAUAUCCAGGGUUCUAUUCAAUUUUUCGCUAUAUUUUCUCUUACAACCGGGUUUCAGUUUCUUCUUUUACAGGUUCGCUUAUGUGUCUAUGUUGGCCCCUUUCACAAGGGUUUUUAGGUUUGGGUUCAGAAUAAUUUGGAAGAUAUAUUUUGCAAUUUCAACAAUAUUUCUUGAGGCUCUAAAUGAUGGGUUGUUCACUUUAUAACCCUAUCUUUGCUUCAUUUUUUCACUAUUGAUAGCGCUUUACUUAUAAAAGCUAUUAAAUCACCUUGGUCGUUAAUUACUCAAAAUAUAUACUAGGUUUAGUACAUAAGUUAGGCUUUUAUCACCUUGGUUGUUAAUUACUCAAUAAUUAGUAUCUUAUGUGUUCCUGAAUAUAGGGCUUUAAUCAUCUGAUUUUGGUAGUUUGACUGGAUUUAAAGUAUAAGAUAUUUUGAUGCUAUGAAUGUUUGAUUUUGGUGUUGUUGUAAUGGUUAUCGUUAUCCAUGUAAUCUCCAUUUAUGUCAUGUUCCUCAGUGACAUUGUAUUGCCUUUGAUGGAUACAAUGCUUAUUUUCAUGUGGCAGUUGCUUAGGCUGUAGUAACACUUACUUUUACUUGAAUAGUCUGACCUGAUUAUCUUGAUAGUUUGUUCUUUUUUCUCUUUUGAUCAACUUUUAAAUGUAUAAGGGGAAAACCGGAAAAAAACCUUUUCCAUUGCACAAUAACAUCUGUUUAGGUCGAUGAAUGAGGAACAAGAUAACCCGGCUUUAUAAUGCUUUGGAACACAAAUUAGAUGUCCUACAUAGCACUUCAACAAUAUUAAAAGUUCAACAAUGUAUGCAUCAACAUCCAAAAGUAUGUGGACACCCACACAAAUGGGAAAACUACAGUUUGAAGUUCAGUGUUAGCCGAGUCAGCCAGAAACCUUUGAUCUCAACACAAACUC
Beta vulgaris subsp. vulgaris (sugar beet) is the source of this 1935-nucleotide long non-coding RNA. RefSeq lists it as uncharacterized. The transcript has 7 exons. NCBI's taxonomy places the organism in Eukaryota, Viridiplantae, Streptophyta, Magnoliopsida, Caryophyllales, Amaranthaceae. The record is from RefSeq and is a predicted model, not a curated record.